Molecule: ribosomal RNA, 502 nt
Filed under: uncultured Glomeromycotina
Lineage: Eukaryota; Fungi; Glomeromycota
Description: partial small subunit ribosomal RNA
Rfam family: Eukaryotic small subunit ribosomal RNA
Source: RNAcentral
CCAAUAGCGUAUAUUAAAGUUGUUGCAGUUAAAAAGCUCGUAGUUGAAUUUCGGGAUCAAUACGUCGGUCGUGCUUUUUUGGUACGCACUGGCGUCAUUGGUUUCUCCUUUCUGACGAACCAUGAUGUCAUUAAUUUGGUGUUAUGGGGAGUUAGGACUGUUACUUUUAAAAAAUGAGAGUGUUUAAAGCAGGCAUUAGCUUGAAUACAUUAGCAUGGAAUAAUGAAAUAGGACGUUCGAUCCUAUUUUGUUGGUUUCUAGGAUCAACGUAAUGAUUAAUAGGGAUAGUUGGGGGCAUUAGUAUUCAAUUGUCAGAGGUGAAAUUCUUGGAUUUAUUGAAGACUAACUACUGCGAAAGCAUUUGCCAAGGAUGUUUUCAUUAAUCAAGAACGAAAGUUAGGGGAUCGAAGACGAUCAGAUACCGUCGUAGUCUUAACCAUAAACUAUGCCGACUAGGGAUCGGAUGAUGUUAAUUUUUUAAUGACUCAUUCGGCGCCUUACG